AACUUGCUAUAUAUCUUCUGUCGGCUUCGUUCUGAAUCGUGAGAAGCGAUAUUCGACUAAACGAAAAUCAAAAUGGAGAUUGGCAUUUUAAGUACUUCAGGGGGAAAACAGCUGGCAACUUUAACGGUUGACCCAAAUUCAACACUAUAGGAGCUGAAGACCCAAAUUCACCGCUUGAAAUCUCAUCUCUACCCUGACAUGCCAGAGUUUCGUCAAGAACCUCGUGGCAAAGGACUGGAUGAGAGCAAGACAGUUGCAGCACUUGGUUUGAAAGACAUUCUACGUGCAGCCA
This is a long non-coding RNA of Daphnia pulicaria, 292 nucleotides long. RefSeq lists it as uncharacterized. NCBI's taxonomy places the organism in Eukaryota, Metazoa, Arthropoda, Branchiopoda, Diplostraca, Daphniidae. The transcript has 3 exons. The record is from RefSeq and is a predicted model, not a curated record.